ACUCCGGCUUGAGUGUUAAAUGGCCAGCAGGAAUUAUCCACUAGAGAAGCGGAAGGGAGAGAAUGGAAAUGGCCGCAUGCAGCUCCUCUCCCUCAGACAGCUCGGGGCUCAGCGGAAUGAGCACAGUCUGCAGGACAAGUGCGGAGGACUUCAGUCCCCUCUACUGUAUAUUGGCUUUAGGACUCAAGUUGUCCCUGAAAUAGAGGAAGGUGUUUUCUAGGGUAGUGGUAAUUAUCACAGUCAAAAAAGUAGGCGAGAGCACUUAGGAAAACUGUGCGGAGAUCGGCUGCUGAUGUGUAAAUACUGCUGAAGCUGCUUAUUCAAGAUUAGAAAACCUGAGACCCAGACGGGGGAAACUGCUUUCCAUGGUUAAUCGUCAACAACUGGCCAGGAUGGGACAGAAGCCCAUACAUAGCCUUCAUUCCAGGGCUCAGAACAAAAAGAAGGCAGUGGCCUGGGCUGCACCUGAGCUUGGCUUCACAUAGGAGGGAUUCUGGAACGCAGGAUCCUGACAACGACCUCAAGCCCCUGUAAAGCAACACAUUUUUUGGCAAGAAUCCCUGGGACAGAGAAAGAAUUUCUUCUCACUUAUUAUUGAGAAUGUUCUCAUGUCUUGCAAGGCUCACUGCCCAGUAGAAGCUGAAAAGAUUCAGUAUGAGUAAAAGAAGAGAUCUGAAAUUUGCAGCUUGUCAUAGAAAGAACUGAGACUACCAUACACCUAAGAAGUCAAAGUUGCUAUUCAAGGGGAAGUGCAAACACAAGAUGAGGGAAACUGAUGUAUUUAGUGUCUACAUUUUACAAAUGGAUGCUUUUCAUAAUAUGAAAAUACUGCACCAUAAGAUUGCCAGUCACAACAGCACGGCUACAGUGAAAAUUGUCAGUCUUUUUUUUUUCCAGGAUCCCAGUGGAUUUGUUACGGUGAGAAAGCUUCACUUGGAGACAAAGCCAAAACCUUCCUCCCAGGCUCCCUUGGAUGUAGGGGGAAGCAAACUGGCUGUCCAGGCCUCUGAGCCACAUCUACACACCUCAUGAGAGGGCCUGUGCAACAUUGCCUUAGAGAUGGAGAGCAUUGCUUCAGAAUCAGGGAAGCCUAAAUUUCACCCCUGGGGCUGCCCCUUGUGAUCUUGAAUGGCUCCUGACAAGAGGCUGCUGGGGAGGCUCCUGCUCCCUGCCUUUCGGGACUGCCGUGGAUUGCCCAUUGAUGGGUCAAAAUCCAGCUACCUGGUAAUUCAAUGAGUCCCUAGUGUGCAUCCAAUAAAUUAUCUUCUGUUUAAAUUAGAACAAACUGUUUUUAAUCUGUGUGCUAAGAAUCUCAUUAAAUGCAUCAUAAAUUUCAAAAUCAAAAACUAAAUAAAACA
This 1358-nucleotide long non-coding RNA is filed under the name Homo sapiens (human). RNAcentral describes it as "non-protein coding LINC02405:17". Lineage: Eukaryota; Metazoa; Chordata; Mammalia; Primates; Hominidae. The record is from RNAcentral.